GCGGGCGUCGCCAAGUGGUAAGGCGUCAGCCUUCCAAGCUGAUAUUCGUGGGUUCGAAUCCCAUCGCCCGCU
RNAcentral lists this transfer RNA (72 nucleotides) under Anaerolinea sp. Its description in RNAcentral is "tRNA-Gly". It matches the Rfam family "tRNA". Rfam says of the family: Transfer RNA (tRNA) molecules are approximately 80 nucleotides in length. Their secondary structure includes four short double-helical elements and three loops (D, anti-codon, and T loops). Further hydrogen bonds mediate the characteristic L-shaped molecular structure. tRNAs have two regions of fundamental functional importance: the anti-codon, which is responsible for specific mRNA codon recognition, and the 3' end, to which the tRNAs corresponding amino acid is attached (by aminoacyl-tRNA synthetases). tRNAs cope with the degeneracy of the genetic code in two manners: having more than one tRNA (with a specific anti-codon) for a particular amino acid; and 'wobble' base-pairing, i.e. permitting non-standard base-pairing at the 3rd anti-codon position. RNAcentral also lists the same sequence under 1 other name. Lineage: Bacteria; Bacillati; Chloroflexota; Anaerolineae; Anaerolineales; Anaerolineaceae. The record is from RNAcentral.